GUGUCAGUCAAGAGGCAACACUAGGAGGCAAGGAAUCUGCAUUUCUUUCAGACCUUGGCAGAGAGCGCCCUGGGAAAUGCGGAUAUAGAAGGUCAGGAGAACAUCUCUCCUGGUUAUACAGCAUUCCAGGACUCCUCAUCUGUUUUUAAGAGGGAAAUCUGAGUUUUCAAGGAAAGCCGAAUACAGUUGCCAAGUUGCCAGUCAAAGAAACAAUGUCAACACCUGCUCAUAGAGAUGGAAUUCCUAACCCGGAAUAUUGCCCUUGAAUUACAACGAGAAAAAGAACACUUCUUAUUCCUGUAGCACCUCUUCAAGUGAGAUGGCAGACCACCUCAGGAUGGAAAUGUAUUUCUUCAUCCCCCUCUCUACUUCCCUGUGACCUCCUGCAAAUAAGGGAGAGACAAAGAGAAGAGCAGAAGAACAGAAGAAUGGAGUGGCAAAGAGAAGAGAAGGAGUGACUGAACAUUGACAAGACUUUGGUUGGGGAUGGUCAGAGAGGAGAUUAGCUGCUAGACGGCCACACUGCGGAGAAAGAUCAUUUUCCCACUCCAUCCCCCUUCCAGCUCCCCAUCCAUCUCACCAAGAGCCAGCUCCACCACUCAAUAAAACCUUACAUUCAUCUUUCAA
RNAcentral lists this long non-coding RNA (627 nucleotides) under Homo sapiens (human). RNAcentral describes it as "non-protein coding lnc-USP6NL-7:10". Lineage: Eukaryota; Metazoa; Chordata; Mammalia; Primates; Hominidae. The record is from RNAcentral.